GGCGUACGGGUGCGUAACGCGUAUGCAACCUACCUUCAGCAGGGGGAUAGCCCGUGGAAACAUGGAUUAAUACCCCAUAAAGCAGGGGUCUCGCAUGGGACUAUUUGCUAAAGAUUUAUCGGCUGGAGAUGGGCAUGCGUCUGAUUAGUUAGUUGGUGAGGUAACGGCUCACCAAGGCGAUGAUCAGUAGGGGUUCUGAGAGGAUGAUCCCCCACACUGGUACUGAGACACGGACCAGACUCCUACGGGAGGCAGCAGUAGGGAAUAUUGGGCAAUGGGCGAGAGCCUGACCCAGCCAUGCCGCGUGCAGGAAGACGGCCUUCUGGGUUGUAAACUGCUUUUAUCAGGGAAGAAAGAGGUGCUGCGGCGCCAGUUGACUGUACCUGAUGAAUAAGCACCGGCUAACUCCGUGCCAGCAGCCGCGGUAAUACGGAGGGUGCAAGCGUUGUCCGGAUUUAUUGGGUUUAAAGGGUGCGUAGGCGGAUUAUUAAGUCAGUGGUGAAAGUCUGCGGCUCAACCGCAGGAGUGCCAUUGAUACUGGUAGUCUUGGGUACAGUA
This 558-nucleotide ribosomal RNA is filed under the name uncultured Sphingobacteriia bacterium. Its description in RNAcentral is "bacterial SSU rRNA". It matches the Rfam family "Bacterial small subunit ribosomal RNA", at positions 97 to 653 of the family's 1533-position model. The record is from RNAcentral. Lineage: Bacteria; Pseudomonadati; Bacteroidota; Sphingobacteriia.